This 393-nucleotide ribosomal RNA is filed under the name uncultured bacterium. Its description in RNAcentral is "partial 16S ribosomal RNA". It matches the Rfam family "Bacterial small subunit ribosomal RNA", at positions 523 to 918 of the family's 1533-position model. The record is from RNAcentral.
AUACGGAGGAUCCGAGCGUUGUCCGGAUUUAUUGGGUUUAAAGGGUGCUCAGGCGGGGGAUUAAGUCGGCGGUGAAAUUUUGCGGCGCAACCGUAAAAGUGCCUUCGAAACUGGUUUCCUUGAGUGUGGAUGAGGUAGGCGGAAUUUGUGGUGUAGCGGUGAAAUGCAUAGAUAUCACGAGGAACUCCGAUUGCGCAGGCAGCUUACCAGGCCAUAACUGACGCUCAAGCACGAAGGCGUGGGGAUCAAACAGGAUUAGAUACCCUGGUAGUCCACGCAGUAAACGAUGAUUACUGGCUGUUUGCGAUACAAUGUAAGCGGCUGAGCGAAAGCGUUAAGUAAUCCACCUGGGGAGUACGUUCGCAAGAAUGAAACUCAAAUGAAUUGACGGGG